UGCCACCAAUUCUUUCCCCAUAUAAUGAGGUCAAAAGGCUUCUUCUACAUAGGCAAUACUUUUAUAGAUUAGAACCACUAUUUGCUAAGGCCACUGACACUACACAUUAAUUGUACUAUUAUUCUCCAUUAACAACUACAGUUCCAUCCUUUGGAAUUCUGAAAUUGGCAAGUUUGGGUGGGUAUUCAAUAUUCUAAGCCAGUCAGCUCCAGUGCUUAACCAAACUACAAACUCCAGGAUUCAAGGAGAUGGAAACAUGGCAUUUAAAGUGGGAUAAGAGCACUAUAAUUGAGCAGUGUGGAUAAGCCUCUGAGUCCAGUGAAGUGUGAUGGUAGUUUCUUGACUUUGACAAGAAGAAGUUUCCUGUGUUCCAACAGUGGACAUAAUUUGCCAUCAAACAAGUCCAAUGAAUACUGUAGGACAACACACAGAAUAUACCACAUCUAUUGUAUACUGUAGAGUUGCACUACCACACACACAUACAUUUUAUUGCUAUUAUUGAUGUGUUGGGUAAGAUUGAUCUCCAGAUCUAGGGCAGGGAAUAAAUUCAUUUUAUUGCUUAUACUUUGCCAAUGUUGACUCCAAAACUGACCUUUGAAAACAUUAUCCUUUGUAAUGAUAGUGAACACUGAUUAUAUUUUCAGAUAUAGGACCAGAAGAUGUCCAGAUUAUGACACCUAUACUGCAUGCGGACACAAUAAUGGCAAAACUGGAAUCGUGGCAUUUAAAGUCUGGUGAGGUCCUUGGGAGAUACCAGCAGACCUUGAGCAGAGAGGAACUGAGGAUUAAAUCCGUCUAAUCUUUUGGAGACACCGUUUAGGGUAAGUAUAGAUCAGGGCAGUGGAUUAGAGCUCUAUGGCAGAAAUCUUAAUCCCUCACUAAUGGUGUAUCCAGU
RNAcentral lists this long non-coding RNA (895 nucleotides) under Anolis carolinensis (green anole). RNAcentral's name for it is "lncRNA (ENSACAG00000030421.2)". The record is from RNAcentral. Lineage: Eukaryota; Metazoa; Chordata; Lepidosauria; Squamata; Anolidae.